Molecule: ribosomal RNA, 708 nt
Filed under: Triticum aestivum (bread wheat)
Lineage: Eukaryota; Viridiplantae; Streptophyta; Magnoliopsida; Poales; Poaceae
Description: partial small subunit ribosomal RNA
Source: RNAcentral
AUGCUGGAAGGGUGGCUGUCGAGCAUCACAGGGAACAAAGACAACCCCCGAGGAGCCAGGAGGGUUCCCCCGCUUGACAGUACAUACGACGUGGACCAGGCAACUACAGAGAUGUACUCGACACCCAACGGAGCACAGGGGCAGGCUGAGGAAGGGGAGGCAAGCGGAGGCGAAAGCGCAGACGAACAAGGGGAGUGGGAGUCUGACGGCGAAGGAGAGGGAGAUGACGACGUCGACUCCAGCGAAGAGGAGGAGGAGGAGGAGGAAGCUGAACCUCCCCGCUCGGAAAGGCGAUCCAAGCUUACACACGACCCUGCGCGGGAACGUGGUAAGGCGACUGCUCCCGUUGGGCAGUCGUCGAAGCGCCCUCGGACCUCUUCUCCAGCGCUGACUGAAAAAGCUCCCAAGCACCCCCGCGCGGCGCCGUCCAAGCCACCCAAGGCUCUGCCCAAGAUGAGGAUGACUGUCCCCACCAUUUUUGGUGCUGCUACUUCUGAGAUCUCCGCCAAGGACGAUGAUCAAGAGAUGGAAGAUGCUGUUACUUCCAACCCUGCUCCUCCUCAUGUUAUUAACCUUCCUGACGACGAAGACGAAGCGCCGCUGAGAGUGAGGCGGAAUAGGAAAGCGUCGGUUGGCAAGACUCCACAAUCCACUCCGGCGCCUGAGGCCGUAGCUCGAGACGGGGCGAUACCACCCGGGCUUCUGUGA